Molecule: ribosomal RNA, 484 nt
Filed under: uncultured bacterium
Lineage: Bacteria
Description: partial 16S ribosomal RNA
Rfam family: Bacterial small subunit ribosomal RNA
Source: RNAcentral
GACGAACGCUGGCGGCGUGCUUAACACAUGCAAGUCGAACGAUGAAGCCGGAGCUUGCUCUGGUGAAUUAGUGGCGAACGGGUGAGUAACACGUGAGUAACCUGCCCUUGACUCUGGGAUAACUGCUAGAAAUGGUAGCUAAUACCGGAUACGACCCUCGGAGGCAUCUUCAGGGGGUGGAAAGAAUUUCGGUCAAGGAUGGACUCGCGGCCUAUCAGCUAGUUGGUGAGGUAAUGGCUCACCAAGGCGACGACAGGUAGCCGGCCUGAGAGGGUGACCGGCCACACGGGGACUGAGACACGGCCCAGACUCCUACGGGAGGCAGCAGUGGGGAAUAUUGCACAAUGGGCGCAAGCCUGAUGCAGCAACGCCGCGUGAGGGAUGACGGCCUUCGGGUUGUAAACCUCUUUUAGUAGGGAAGAAGCGAAAGUGACGGUACCUGCAGAAAAAGCACCGGCUAACUAUGUGCCAGCAGCCGCAGUAA